This 433-nucleotide ribosomal RNA is filed under the name uncultured bacterium. Its description in RNAcentral is "partial 16S ribosomal RNA". It matches the Rfam family "Bacterial small subunit ribosomal RNA", at positions 29 to 507 of the family's 1533-position model. The record is from RNAcentral.
AACGAACGCUGGCGGCAUGCCUAACACAUGCAAGUCGAACGAGACCUUCGGGUCUAGUGGCGAAGGGGUGCGUAACGCGUGGGAACCUGCCCUUAGGUUGGGAAUAACUCCCGGAAAGGGGUGCUAAUACCGGAUAUUGUCUUCGGACCAAAGAUUUAUCGCCUUUGGAUGGGCCCGCGUUGGAUUAGCAAGUUGGUAGGGUAAAAGCCUACCAAGGCGACGAUCCAUAGCUGGUCUGAGAGGAUGAUCAGCCACACUGGGACUGAGACACGGCCCAGACUCCUACGGGAGGCAGCAGUGGGGAAUAUUGGACAAUGGGCGAAAGCCUGAUCCAGCAAUGCCGCGUGAGUGAUGAAGGCCUUAGGGUUGUAAAGCUCUUUUACCCGGGACGAUAAUGACAGUACCGGGAGAAUAAGCUCCGGCUAACUCCGUG